Molecule: transfer RNA, 73 nt
Filed under: Nanobdellota archaeon
Lineage: Archaea; Nanobdellati; Nanobdellota
Also listed under: 1 other name
Description: tRNA-Val
Rfam family: tRNA
About the family: Transfer RNA (tRNA) molecules are approximately 80 nucleotides in length. Their secondary structure includes four short double-helical elements and three loops (D, anti-codon, and T loops). Further hydrogen bonds mediate the characteristic L-shaped molecular structure. tRNAs have two regions of fundamental functional importance: the anti-codon, which is responsible for specific mRNA codon recognition, and the 3' end, to which the tRNAs corresponding amino acid is attached (by aminoacyl-tRNA synthetases). tRNAs cope with the degeneracy of the genetic code in two manners: having more than one tRNA (with a specific anti-codon) for a particular amino acid; and 'wobble' base-pairing, i.e. permitting non-standard base-pairing at the 3rd anti-codon position.
Source: RNAcentral
GGGCCUGUGGUCUAGCGGUUAUGACAUCGCCUCGACACGGCGAAGAUCACCAGUUCGAAUCUGGUCAGGCCCA